RNAcentral lists this ribosomal RNA (496 nucleotides) under uncultured bacterium. RNAcentral's name for it is "partial 16S ribosomal RNA". It matches the Rfam family "Bacterial small subunit ribosomal RNA", at positions 29 to 507 of the family's 1533-position model. The record is from RNAcentral.
AUGAACGCUGGCGGCGUGCCUAAUACAUGCAAGUCGAGCGAACGGACGAGAAGCUUGCUUCUCUGAUGUUAGCGGCGGACGGGUGAGUAACACGUGGAUAACCUACCUAUAAGACUGGGAUAACUUCGGGAAACCGUAGCUAAUACCGGAUAAUAUUUUGAACCGCAUGGUUCAAAAGUGAAAGACGGUCUUGCUGUCACUUAUGGAUGGAUCCGCGCUGCAUUAGCUAGUUGGUAAGGUAACGGCUUACCAAGGCAACGAUGCAUAGCCGACCUGAGAGGGUGAUCGGCCACACUGGAACUGAGACACGGUCCAGACUCCUACGGGAGGCAGCAGUAGGGAAUCUUCCGCAAUGGGCGAAAGCCUGACGGAGCAACGCCGCGUGAGUGAUGAAGGUCUUCGGAUCGUAAAACUCUGUUAUUAGGGAAGAACAUAUGUGUAAGUAACUGUGCACAUCUUGACGGUACCUAAUCAGAAAGCCACGGCUAACUACGUG